This is a long non-coding RNA of Beta vulgaris subsp. vulgaris (sugar beet), 228 nucleotides long. RefSeq lists it as uncharacterized. The transcript is spliced from 2 exons. The record is from RefSeq and is a predicted model, not a curated record. Lineage: Eukaryota; Viridiplantae; Streptophyta; Magnoliopsida; Caryophyllales; Amaranthaceae.
CAAUUAUUGGUUAGAUUAAGGAAAAAGGAAUAUUACAAGCCUCCCCCGACUAUCAAAGUUACUAAGCAGGAUUUGAGGUAAUGACGGGGAUGACGGAAUGGCGUAGCAGUGAGGAAUAAUUACUACUUAAAUUAUGCAGACUCUUACUAUUAUGUAUUCUAAGCUUAAGAACAUAAAUUUGUGAACCUUAACUAUAUUUCACCUAGUUAUUUAUGCAUUUCUAAGUUA